ACUCCUACGGGAGGCAGCAGCAGAGAAUUUUGGACAAUGGGGGCAACCCUGAUCCAGCCAUGCCGCGUGAGUGAAGAAGGCCUUCGGGUUGUAAAGCUCUUUUGGCCGGGAAGAAAGCGCCUCCUCUAAUACGGGGUGUGGUUGACCGUACCGGCAACAUAAGCACAUGCCAACUACGUGCCAGCAGCCGCGGUAAU
This 197-nucleotide ribosomal RNA is filed under the name uncultured beta proteobacterium. Its description in RNAcentral is "partial 16S ribosomal RNA". It matches the Rfam family "Bacterial small subunit ribosomal RNA", at positions 335 to 524 of the family's 1533-position model. The record is from RNAcentral. Lineage: Bacteria; Pseudomonadati; Pseudomonadota; Betaproteobacteria.